Piliocolobus tephrosceles (Ugandan red Colobus) is the source of this 284-nucleotide long non-coding RNA. The record is from Ensembl. Lineage: Eukaryota; Metazoa; Chordata; Mammalia; Primates; Cercopithecidae.
ACUUAUGUCAUUCUGCCUAUAUGUAUAUAGUUAUAUUUACUACGUACAUAUUAUAUCCUUAAACAUUUUUAUUUUUUUUUUUUUUUUUUACCCUUUAAACCAGUCAAAAUGUCAAGAAGAACUAAAAAGGUCGGAUUAACAGGAAAGUACGGUACUAGGUACGGUUCCUCUCUUCGUAAACAAAUGAAAAAAAUCGAAUUAAUGCAACAUGCGAAAUACUUAUGUUCCUUUUGUGGAAAAGUAACUAAUUAAAAAAAAAAAUAAUAAAUAAACUUUAAUUGGCA